GGGUUUGCGUUGGCAGCACACACGUUAACAUUGGAAUGAUACAGAGAUUAGCAUGGCCUGCAUCCGAGGACGACACCCAAAUUCAUGAAAUGUUCUAUAUUUUU
This 104-nucleotide small nuclear RNA is filed under the name Chinchilla lanigera (long-tailed chinchilla). The record is from RNAcentral. Lineage: Eukaryota; Metazoa; Chordata; Mammalia; Rodentia; Chinchillidae.